AAGCGCAGCAGCUCGGCGGCUGUGGCGCGGCCCAGGCCGCUGUUCGCACCCGUGAUCAGCACUGUCUUCCCGUGCAUGAGGCCGGAGUCCCCGCCUCGGUGCAGCCGCUGGACGCUGGGCCCCACGAACCGCCGGGCCGCCAGCCACAGGGCCCCACCCAGUGCGGCCAGUAACGCCGCCACGGUAGCCACUGCCAUGGCCGCCCGGGCCCAGGGCCCACCUGCCCCUGCGCGGGACUUCCGGGGUCGCCGGGCGCCCAGGUCUGAGCUCGCCACCUGUACGCAAAGAACGCUGGGGCGCGGCCUGUCGUCCCCUGACGGCGGCGUGGGGCAUGCUGGGACUUGUAGUCCCCCUUCCGAGGGCACCUGAUUGGUUAGUAGAGGACAGCGCUCUGCGCGGCUCCUCGGCGGAGCCGGCUCCCAGCCUGAGAGAGAGAAGGGUACAUGAGCUGUGAUGGUGCCAAAUUUCUGUGCCCCUUCAAUGUGGAACAUGUGGUCAUCAAAGAAGAUGUGGGGCCUUAUCUUCACCAAGAUGGGACCUUUGGGGGCUCCAGCAAGGAAAAGAGCUUCGUCUAUCUCUAGACCCCAGCGGCGAAGGGUUUUCAGCACGCGGGCGCCUGAACUGGCUGCACUCCUAGCUGUAACCAGGUCCAGCAAAGCAAGUAUGAAGCCAUCAGAAUUGCCUUCUUUUCUCUCAAGUCUCAGGAUGUGCCUCAUUCCAAACCGUAAGCUGGACACAGUGGAUGUGGAUAAUGUCCCCCAUGGAUAGAUUGGCAUGACGGCUAGAGAGGAGACACCAUCCCUGGACGCUUAGACCAUCGGCUCCCAUGACCUAGCACCAACUCACGACAAAGACUCUAAAAGUUUAUUUUACCCUAUAUUGUGGUCACAAACAUUUGUUAUUUGAAAGGGCUUGUAAAUUUUUUUUAAAAUGUCAACUCUGGAACAACAUGGGAAUUUUAAGCCUAAAAUCCAAGCUACUUUUAGAGAAUGGCUCCUGGGGGACACCUAAGGGUUAGACUGUGGACUCUGAUGUCUUCAGUUAAGGACAGUCCCCAAUUCCAGGGGAGACAGAGAAAGCCCAGCGGGCAUGGAUACCCAUGGAGGGACUGAGAGGUGGGCGGCAGGAAACCCCGCAGAGAGGGUCUUGGUGGAGGGGACCAGGUCAACGGAGUGGUUGAAGAGCUGCUUGCUGGGGUUGGUAUAAAUAUAGGGAAGAUGUAAGUGGUUUUCUUGGUGACACGUGAGCGUUCCCAGAGAAGAGGAGGAAGAAGUGGCAGUAGUAGCCGUGUGUUUGUUAUCGGUGGGAGUGGUGGUGGUGGUUUUAACCUCAGAUUCCCAGCCUGCCGAGCCAGGCUUGUCUAAAGCACGUCAAUAACUGCACUCACUCUCCUCUUCUUGAUAAGGCUGAUUUUACACCUCUGAUAGGCCCUGUUAGCCCCGCUCCAACCCCCCAAAAUAUCAGGGAGACAUUUCGUGGAUACCUUUCUUCUUUAGAGGUGACUCUGAGAACUUCACCCACCAGCUGGAGGAUGUUGGCAAUAAAUGUUAGAGGGGACAGAGAAGGUUCCUAGAGGGUGAGGAUAUUAGGCUUAGACUGUGCCACUAGAAUAAGCUCUUUUCAAUUUAAUUCAACCAACACUCACUGCAUACCCACCAGUAUCCCCAGACCGUGCCAGCCUUAAGAUGAUUCUGACAUGAAUAACAAGAACAGUCUUUCCUUCCGUGCCUCCAUGCUCCGAAAAGUUCCUGGAACACCUGUCCUUCCAAGUAUCCUCACUUUCGAGAGGCAUCAGGGUGUGGCAGGAAGACCAUGGGCUUCGGAGGCAAAUCCGGAUUCUGCUACUACCUAGCAGCAUAACUAUGAGAAAGCUACCCCAUCACUCUGAGCCUCAGUGUUUACAUUUGCAAAAUGUGGAUGGGAUCUAUUUUAGAUCAUAGCUGUGAAGGUUAACUAUCGGGCAGAUAAAGCAACUGGCAACCUGCCAGGUUCAGAGUAGGUGCUCAAUCAAUGGUGCCUAUUAUUGUCAUCAAUUUCCCUGUGGGCCCCCAACCCUGCUUCUCACUGCUCUCGCUGUCCCUGAAACUGUCCUUGUCAUCAGGACUACCAUUAUUCCUGUUCCUUUUGCCACCAUCCAAAGGUCCCCCAAUUAUGGGAAUAGUUUCCCCAGUAAUUAUAGCUGUUCACAAGACUUUUCAAAAACUAAUCUGGACUUUGGGGUAUUGUCAUCCCAUAAGAGAAAAACUUGAAAUGA
Long non-coding RNA from Balaenoptera ricei (Rice's whale), 2254 nucleotides. RefSeq lists it as uncharacterized. The record is from RefSeq and is a predicted model, not a curated record. The transcript is spliced from 4 exons. NCBI's taxonomy places the organism in Eukaryota, Metazoa, Chordata, Mammalia, Artiodactyla, Balaenopteridae.